AACAUGUGUGGAGGAGACUUUCUGUUGGGAUUUUUUUUCCUAUCUGUACUUUGGCCUAAACUAUCCAAAAUCCAAAUACUGUCACAUUUGUGAGAUGAAUUUGACAAGUGCCACACAUGCAAAUUCCUACAUUUUUAAUGAGAAGAAAUUGAUUGCAUGCUUGCCAUUUAUCAUACAACCUCAAACUAUGGGCCCCAUUUAAGUAAACAUUAAUUUCAAGUAAAACAAUCAUAUUUUGAACAAAAACAAAAUUGGUUUCUUUAGCCAAAAAAAAAGAAGAGGAUACCAAUAAUAGCUGCUUUGUAAAUUUCAUAAUAAAUAAUAGGGAACAAAAUUCACAAUUUCAUUAAUUCCUUAAUUUAAAGUAUUUUUUUCAUCUAAUUUAUCCAAAACGAAGAAGAAAAAAAACUUCUUUCUGAAAUGAAAAAAGUUUUAUUUUGUAUGAAAAGGGUAGUAAAAAUGAAAAAAUCACAUCUUAUUGAAAAAGUCAUUAAUACCAUUAUAUUCGAAAAAAUGAUAACACGUUUUUACUUCUUAAUUACAAUCUUUUUUCUUACUUUCUUAAUAAUUACUUAUUUUUCAAUAAACGAGAAGAUAAAUGUACAAUAAAUAUUAUAUAUUCUCAUUUCCUUUUGUUUUACCGUAACCAACAUUACUUUGAAGUAAAAUUUUAUCUCACAUUUUAAUUACUUCUUUCUAUAUUUUAAACAAACAUUUUUCAAUGAGAUAAGAAAAUACUUAUUGUAAACAACAAAUAUUUUCAUCUACUUCUUUUUUCCAACCCAUUUAACAGCAAAAGGACAAUAAUUAGAAGUAAAGUUAUUUCAACCUAGAUCAUCAACACGACUGAAUAAUAUCACAUGGCAUUACCAAUGGACCCAAACAUUCAAGUUAUGUUAUGCCAUAUACACGUAAGCCAACAUAUUAUAUUUUUUAAAAUUUAAAUCGAAUUUGGGUAAGGCUUAGCCACAUAGACAUAUUAAAAAACUAACUAACGGAUGAGGCGUAUUUAUACCAUUUUAUAAGCUGGUAAACAUUCUAGUUAAAUUAGAAAACCCAGACACAUUUCUUAUUAAAUGACUGUAUUUUUUUAUAACGACAAUACAACCUGUAAAUGAAAUAAUUUUAAAAAAUUGUGUACAAGUUUAUCUUAUCCACUUUUCCUAUCAGUAUUAAAGACUGAUCAUGAUUCAAUGACCUUUUUUUAUUUUUUCCUGAAUAUUUAAAUAUGAUAUAUCAGUAGUACUCAUGUGGGGUUAUUGUUUGGGUAUAUGAUACUGUAUUUAAAAUUUGCUUUUUGAUUUAAAGUCUAUCCUUUCAUCAUUUUUUGUCUUUCUUUUUUAAAGAGUAAACAAAGAGUAGUGUUGUUACAAUUAAUGACGGCUCAAUAAAAUUAGUAGCCUAAAACUAAAUUUAAAUAAAAGAUUUGUUUUAUGUAAUUUUUGUUUAUAACGUUAUACUUUUAUAAGAUAUAAAACUUAUAAGUUCAUAAUAGCUAUUAAUAGUAUUAAAUAUAUAUUGUGAAUGCUAAUUCAAGUUAACAAGAUGAUAGUCAUGUAUUUUUAAUAUGUUUCUUUCGAUCUCGUCCUAAAAAAUAUUACUAAUAUGAUAUUUAAAUAAUUUAAUUUAGAUUUCCAAAAUAUUUUUAUUGUUAAAAAUAGACAAUCUUCUUAGUAUCUUUCUUAAUAAAACUUUUGUAGUUUUUUUAACGAAUUUAAUAUUAUUUAAUCCAAAAUAACAUAGGAAAUCAAAAUUUUUUGGCCCCAAAAGUUUUGGGGGUCUAAAGCAAAGAAUAGCAAGUAAGAAACCGUCAGCAAAAGAAUAGCAAGAGGAAGUUUGAGAAUUGAGAGCAUGGAUUGGUUGCUUUGACUGGGUUUUAUUUUUCAGUGUUGUACUCUACACAGACACUUCAAAGGUAUUUUUAUUUUUGUGUUCUUGAAAAUGGCUUUUCAUUUUAUUUCCUGUCACUUAUUCUUCUCUGUGUUUUUAUUUUAUUUUAUUUUAUGGAACGGUUUGAAGUCUUUCAUGUUGUUUCAAUGAAUAAAUGAGACAACUUUUGGUGUUUCAGUGUUCAGAGAAUUGUUAAAAUUUUGAUUUUAUUAUAUACUAGAAAGUUUUUUUAUGUUCAAAAUCUGGUUAUGUCUCUGUUGCUUUAAUUCUAGUUUUAGGUUAGUUUCUAUAUCAAACAUAGAAAUUAGUGCUGUCCAGUAGUUUGAAUCUCCAUAAUUUUUAGUGUUUUGACUCUUUUGGUAAAACUGAUGAUUGCUUAUUAUUGCCAUUACCAUUUAUGGCUAGGUUAAUGUUUAUAUGAAGUACUGUCAGAUAAAGUAGGCUGCUGUGUCUUCCUUUUUUAUCUCAUUUUAAAGAUUUUUUAUUUUUUAUUUUUACUUCAUUCUGCCCCUCCUUUAUUCAAGAAUCUAAUGAUUUUGAUUUUUAUCUCAAAACCAAAUAUAAAUGUAUGCUGAUUCCAUUCCAAUUAGUAACCACUGUUCUUUGAUAUAUAUGCUGGAAAUGCAGUUGUGUUUUAUGGUAUUGUAAGUAUUUGGUUUUGUGUCUAAGUCAAACAUUCAUGUUGAUUUCUUAGGUUGAAGAUGAACAUGGACUUUUCCGAGUCUACAAAAGUUGUAUAUAAUCGAAUUCAGAAACUAGAGCCAGAAAAUGUGUCUAAGAUAAUUGGUUAUCUCCUUUUACAAGAUCAUGGUGAACAGGAUAUGAUUAGAUUAGCGUUUAGUCCCGACAAUUUGAUCCAUUCCUUGAUUAAUAAAGCUAAGAAAGAUCUUGGAUUAUCAUCCAAACCAGCCAUUUCUGGUCCUCUUUCACCCCCCUUAGUCAAUCGAGCAUUAUCUUCAGACAUUCCCUUGAACUUUGUUCCAUUCUCAUCAGCUUCACCUCGUCCCUUUUCGACUCUUCAAGUUGGAAAUCCAUACUGGGAGCCUCAAGGUCAUGCCGAAAAUCAUCCAAUUCAUACCUUGGAUUUUCUACCUGUUGGUUGCUCGGAUACUAUGACCGAUGAACGCCAACUCCCAAACCAACUUCAGUUCUUAUCUUUAGAUGAUCAGUCAGACCAUGUUAAUUCAGAAUUCUCCGGCGACCACUAUUUCUCUGUAUCUGCAUUAGGCCCAAGAUCGAGUCGAAGGUCUCCAAGCUUGCCCGAGUUUCCUGUUAAGGUCUGCCAUUAUUUUAACAAAGGCUUUUGUAAGCAUGGAACCAACUGUCGGUACUUUCACGGCCAUCCAAAUCCGGAAAGCUUCUCCCAAGUCUUCAACUCAAACUUAAAUGAAAUGGGAAGUGAUGAACAUAUCUUCAAGCCUGGAUCUCUAGAGAAAAUAGAGAUGGAACUUACCGAGCUUCUCAAAUCUAGACGGGGUCUUCCUGUUUCAAUUGCUUCGUUGCCUAUGUUGUACUAUGAGAAGUAUGGGAGGACACUUCAGGCUGAGGGUUAUUUGACCGAAAGUCAAAGACAUGGGAAAGCUGGAUAUAGCCUGACUAAGCUCCUCGCUCGAUUAAGAAAUAGCAUUCGUGUCAUCGACAGGUCCAACUUGUAUAGUUCUCGCCUUUGGUGGAUUAUGUUCUUUGACAUAGACUUUAUUUGAUAUAAAUGUUUGUAUUUGAGACAGGCCCCAUGGACAGCAUGCCGUUAUUUUAGCUGAGGAUGUUCCAAAAUAUAUGGAGUACAGUGGCGAAAGAAAUGAACACGGAGCAAUUGUAGCCGGUUCUCGCCAGAUUUAUCUGACCUUUCCGGCUGAGAGUACCUUCAGCGAGCAAGAUGUUUCCAACUAUUUCAAGUAAGUUACUCCAAGUGAAUUGACAUCUACGAUUAGUAGCUGUUUUCCGUCUUCACAACUUAUUAGAGCCUUCUCAUGUUUAUGCAGUCAAUUUGGACCAGUACAAGAUGUUAGGAUUCCUUGUCAGCAGAAGAGAAUGUUUGGGUUUGUAACUUUUGUUUUCCCAGAGACAGUUAAGCAGAUCCUGGCAAAGGGGAAUCCUCAUUUAGUUUGUGGUGCACGUGUUUUGGUGAAACCUUACAGGGAAAAGUCCAAGCUUGUAGAUAGGUAUAUUUCCUGGUUUCUUUUAUUAUGAAGGCUUCUAAUAGUUUAUUUGCAUAUUUGUUAAUUAUAGAUCAAAGAUCCUCAUUUUCAAUGUACCCUACUUAACAUUGUGUGUGGAAUGUUGGGAUGCAAUGAUGUUGCGUUGCUAAUGCCUUUUGUGUUUGUAGUUUAAUGUAUUGAUAUUAGCAGUGAUGGCUCUUUGAAUACUCUCAUUGAUAUGUGAACCUGUAUUUUCAGAUCUGUGGUUGGUUAAAUGGAAUCUCAUUUGUUUCCCUAUCUAACAAUAUUAUCUUCUAUUGAAGAUUACUUCUUCGGGGUAGGGGUAAGGUCUGCGUACACACUACCCUCCCCAGACCCCAUUAGUGGGAUUUUACUGGGUUGUUGUUGUUGUUGAAGAUUAUGAUCAUAAUAAUCUGUCAGACAACUGAGAUACUUGAGGAGCAUUGGCUUAAUUCUUGUCCAAUCUAUUUUAUUUGUUUAUUUUAACUCACCUAGCAUAUUGUUCAGCAAACAUCUUUCAUACAAAUCAAAUUAAUGUUUACACAUUUCCCUCAACUGUUGAUGUCGUGAUUGAGUGAUGCUUCAAAAUAUAUUGUCUUGUGAAAACUUUUCAUUGGAUUGCGUAUAACUUUUUGUAUAGAUUUGCAUUUGAUAUGAUCUUUAUCUUAUCUCUGCAGAAAAUGCCUCGAGAAAGCUUAUCAAGCUUCCUACUAUAAUUCCUCGUUCAUUGACGCAGAAUCCGAACUCCAAUCUUGUAAGAUGCACUUCAACUCAAACAAUCAAAACCUACCUUAUAUUUUGUCAUAGAAGUAAUAAUUUUUAUCGUUUUUUUAGCACCUAGAGUCUGUGAAAAUUCAAGACUAAUGAAAAAACAACUCAUGGAGGAACAAGAGCGUGCAAUUGAGUUUGAGAGGCAGCAUUUUCCAGAGUUGCAAUUAGCUGCAAAAACUUUGCAUCAUCAAAUGCGCCUUGGUUACUCAGUAGAGGAUUUGAAGCUUAGAGAAGGUUCUUUAACAUGUAAUUCUGAAGCAUAUCCUCCCCUAAGAUCCUCGACUAUCCAUCUUUACCUGACAUUGUUCUUUUCUUUGCUUUUCGUGCUUCCUCCUGUAUAGGCCGUAGCGAAAAACUGGAGUUCCCAUCAGCCGAGAGUUUUAAUUACCUGCUAGAUGUAUAUAACAAUGGUUCCACCAGCGAGGACAAAGCUAGGCACGUUAAAAUGAGUCACUGUGACCAAGAAGGGUAAGACAUUUUGAUACUGUCGUUUUGAGUUUUAUGCUCUUUGUAUCAUUUUCUUGAGCCGAGGGUCUAUAGGAAGCAGCCUCUCUACCUUCCCAAGGAAGGGGUAAGGUCUGCGUACAGCCAUACACACUACUCUCCCCAGACCCCACUUGUGGAAUUUCACUAGGUUGUUGUUGUCGUAUGCUCUUUGUGACCAGGAGGUCACUAGUUCGAGCUGUGGAUAUAGCCUCUUGCAGAAUUGCAGGGUAAGGCUGCGUACAAUAGACCCUUGUGGUCCAGCCUUCCCCGUAUUCCACGCAUAGCGGGAGCUUAGUGCAUCGGGCUGCGCUUUAUUGUUGUCGUAUGCGCUUUGUAUCAUUUUGAGUUUGUUGUCGAUAUUUGUUCUUAUUUAAUCAGUUCUUCGGGAUGUUGCAGUGGUCAAGGAUUGAAUCUUCCAGAUAGCCCGUUUGCAUCUCCAAUAAGGAAUGGCAUUUCAACUGUCAUUUAGGUUCAGAAACACAGAAGGAUUAUAGAGUUUAAAGAGGACUGAGUUUUGGAAAGCAGUUCGUUGGUUCGACACAUAAAAGUACUUUUCUUCCUAAAUAUUUCCAUAAAACAGUUACUAUUAAAUAGUUGCUCAACUGCCUGCAAAUACACCUGAUCCUACAGAAAGCGCGAGAAGUUAUUCGUUUUCAUUUUUUAGGUGAACAUCAUAAGAGAAUUACAUAGAAAAAGAAUCGCGACAUGUAACAAGUUUCAUAGGUUUUCAGCUUUGAUAAGAAGUUAAUGAUAGGGAGCAAGUUUGAUGCUUGCUUUGCAGGUUUUAGAAGUUAAAAUGUAAUUAUGGUUUUUUUUCUAAGUGUGAUGGAGAAGAAAAUAGGCUCAGAUUCAGAGUUUGGUGUCCAUUGUAGAGCUCUCUGCUACUUGACAGAAAUGCUAAAUGUUGCUAACAAUAAAGUUAUACAUAGUUUUCAUUUCUAGUCUCUGUUUACUUUCUGAACACAAAUUUGUCAUUUAUAUUUUGGCGUAACCGGUAAAGUUGACUCCAUGUGACCAGAAGGUCAUGAGUUUGAGCCGUGGAAAUAACCUCUUGUAGAAAUGUAGGGUAAGACUGCGUACAAUAGACCCCUGUAGUCAAGCCCUUCCCCAGACCCCGCACAUAGCGGGAGCUUAGUACAUCGGUGAUAUCCGAAUCAGCUUGCAUGCAUAGGUGGUAUUCGAAUCAGCUUGCGUGCACCUCGGGUAAUCCUCUUUGUUUGCUAAAAAUGUAAAUAUAAAGUAGUUGAAUAUGGAUCAUAUAUGUGGUCCUCUACUGCUUGUUCUCUUAGUUGUACAAAAGGGUCCCCAAUAGUAAAGAAAAUGUAUAUUAGACCCUUGAUAUGCGGAACUGAUGCAAGUUGUAUUUUUUUAAAAUUAUAUUUAAUGCCAAAACUAAGUAAAUUGACCAUCUUAGAAAGUUAUUAUUUUGUCGCUUUCAUCCACGUUGAUCUACUUUAUUAUUUAUUGCUUUCACCAUUAUACAACUGAAAAAUAUUGUUUUUUUUUUUUUUGCAAUUUGUGAGAUUGACUUUGAUAAAGUAGUGGUGCUGAAGUGCGACAAUUAUUUAGAUUUGUGGACAUUAUGUGAAUUUUAAUUUUAGAUUUGUAGGACCGACGUAUCUACUAUCUGUUUUUUAAUCUUUUAUACGACACAGAUGUUACAUGUCUAUGGCCAUAAAUGUUUUUGUUCAUACAUUUCUUAGCCACAAACACACUUCAUACUUCAAAAGUAGUUUGAUUCUCUUCGCAUCCACUAGUUUUAUUGAUUUAUAUUUUUUUAAAAUCAAAACUAAGCUCCAUUUGGUAGUUUGUGAGAUAUUUCUUCACUAAAAUAGAAUAGUUUGGAAAUUCAUAGAAUUAUCUAUAAAAUAAUGUAGCAGGAAAUUAAUUUAGGACAAAAGAUAAUAAACAACUUUUGCCAAUUUGGGAUUAAAAAUUAGGAUCUUUUCAUACAUAUGCUAAAUUAUAAAGUUAUUUACCUGAAAUGUGUAAAGUUUGCUAUUUAUCAAAGUAGACUGACUAUAUAUAUAAAUAUAUUUUUUUCACUCUGUUCAUCUGUUCUUUCCAACCUUUUAAAGAUAUAAAUUUUUUCUUAACACAACUUUUUUUUAAACCUCACCAUGGCCGUAGUUAAAUAUAUUUGCCCACUUUAACACCUUUCUGAUAAUAUUUUGGGCUUAUUUUAACUGGUCUCUCCUAGAAAUUUAUAGGUUAAUCCAUCAGAGUUAUUAAGAAGUUGGAAAGAUAACCAUAUACUUAGAGUGAUUUUUUUAGUUAUUUACAAACUAGCAACUAAGAAAUUAAAGAUAUAAGACAUAAUAUAAAAGCUUUAAAUAAAUCGGGGUAAUAAACAGAAAUAUAAUUUAUAAAAACAGUAACUUACAUGUUUACAGGAGAGGGAUUUCCCUUUCGGUAAACUCGAAAGAGUUUACUGGACUUAAAAACUUGCACACUAAAGCAUAAAUCUUUAUUUAUUUUACAUGUUUGAGAUAGAAAAUACUAAAGCAUAUAUAGUGAAAUAUUUUAAAAAGAGAGGUGUGGAGGAUGGUUUUUCUGGUGUAGGUGAAGGGAAUGGUGAAGAGAGUAUGUUUUUCUUCA
This 7904-nucleotide long non-coding RNA is filed under the name Nicotiana tabacum (common tobacco). RNAcentral's name for it is "long non-coding RNA (NTAB_LNC003951)". Lineage: Eukaryota; Viridiplantae; Streptophyta; Magnoliopsida; Solanales; Solanaceae. The record is from RNAcentral.